Molecule: transfer RNA, 72 nt
Filed under: Elusimicrobia bacterium CG08_land_8_20_14_0_20_51_18
Lineage: Bacteria; Pseudomonadati; Elusimicrobiota
Description: tRNA-Cys
Rfam family: tRNA
About the family: Transfer RNA (tRNA) molecules are approximately 80 nucleotides in length.
Source: RNAcentral
GGCGCGGUAGCCAAGAGGAAAGGCAGCGGUCUGCAAAACCGCUAUGCGCCGGUUCGAUUCCGGCCCGCGCCU